GGGUGCUCAGAUGCUUCCACCAUAUUCUAUUGGUGAUUCCAGCCUGGCCAAGAUUCAAAGCCAGAGGGGCUGUCAGAAGGUGUGCAUAUUGGAGGUGUGGUUAAGUAUACUGGAGGUGUGGUUAAUUGUAUUGGAGAUGUGUUAAUUAUACUGGAGGUGUGGUUAAUUGUAUUGGAGGUGUGGUUAAGUAUAUUGGAGGUGUGGUUAAGUAUACUGGAGGUGUGGUUAAUUGUGUUGGAGGUGUGGUUAAUUAUGUUGGAGGUGUGGUUAAGUAUAUUGGAGGUGUGGUUAAGUAUACUGGAGGUGUGGUUAAUUGUAUUGGAGGUGUGGUUAAGUAUACUGGAGGUGUGGUUAAUUGUAUUGGAGGUGUGGUUAAGUAUACUGGAGGUGUGGUUAAUUGUAUUGGAGGUGUGGUUAAGUAUACUGGAGGUGUGGUUAAUUGUAUUGGAGGUGUGGUUAAGUAUACUGGAGGUGUGGUUAAUUGUAUUGGAGGUGUGGUUAAGUAUACUGGAGGUGUGGUUAAUUGUAUUGGAGGUGUGGUUAAGUAUACUGGAGGUGUGGUUAAUUGUAUUGGAGGUGUGGUUAAGUAUACUGGAGGUGUGGUUAAUUGUAUUGGAGGUGUGGUUAAGUAUACUGGAGGUGUGGUUAAUUGUAUUGGAGGUGUGGUUAAGUAUACUGGAGGUGUGGUUAAUUGUAUUGGAGGUGUGGUUAAUUGUAUUGGAGGUGUGUUAAUUGCUGAGUAGUUUCCAUGAGCAUUUCCCAGAUCCAGCUAUUGCUUUGUGUUGAGCCCACCUGCCCUGUGGUUAGUGAGGUGACUCUAUUAAGAUCCAUGUCAAGACCUUGAAUUAGCAACUGGCAGUGCAAAAUGGAUUUUAUUUACCUGACAAAACUGAACCAAAGGAGAGUCAAAUUUGUAACUAGGUCCCCUUCGCUAGAACCAUGGUGGCUGAGUGCAGAUGUCAUGGUCCAGAGCUCCACUGGACAGCCCACUGGGGCCAAGGUUGGCAGGCCACAGAGGUCAGAAACAGUUUUCUGGCUGGUUUGAUAGCUACAAGGGGAUUGGAGGAAUUAAGGGCGUCUUUUGUAAAGCCGUGAAGCCUUCCUAUGACGAAUGAGGACCCCUUAGCCUGACUAUUCCUCCUUCUUAUCGGGAGUACCUGGGCACUGUCUGACUCUGUGACCCACGAGUCAGGAUGGGGAGGCAUUCAGGGAAAUCCCCUUUGAAGCCAAAGCAGCUAAAAUAUAAGUCAAGGUAAAAAUUAAACCGGCUGCUAAUUCCUUUUCUGUGAAGUAUCUUUCAAUCCUCGUUAAAAGGAUUAAUUCUUCAAAGCAAGGAGUCUUGUUUGCUAAAUUCUUGCGAGAGGCAUGAACAGAGACAGGACAGCUGGAUUGUCAGUUGCAGGCAGAAGCCCAGCGUGGUCUGAACUCCCACUGGGCAGCAUCAUCCCUGGGGUGACCCCCACCCCCAC
This 1469-nucleotide long non-coding RNA is filed under the name Sus scrofa (pig). Its description in RNAcentral is "lncRNA (ENSSSCG00025019989.1)". Lineage: Eukaryota; Metazoa; Chordata; Mammalia; Artiodactyla; Suidae. The record is from RNAcentral.